This 390-nucleotide ribosomal RNA is filed under the name uncultured bacterium. RNAcentral's name for it is "bacterial SSU rRNA". It matches the Rfam family "Bacterial small subunit ribosomal RNA", at positions 28 to 418 of the family's 1533-position model. The record is from RNAcentral.
AUUGAACGCUGGCGGCAUGCUUUACACAUGCAAGUCGAACGGCAGCACGGGUGCUUGCACCUGGUGGCGAGUGGCGAACGGGUGAGUAAUGCAUCGGAACGUGCCCAUGAGUGGGGGAUAGCCCGGCGAAAGCCGGAUUAAUACCGCAUACGCCCUUAGGGGGAAAGCGGGGGAUCUUCGGACCUCGCGCUAUUGGAGCGGCCGAUGUCGGAUUAGCUAGUAGGUGGGGUAAAGGCUCACCUAGGCGACGAUCCGUAGCUGGUCUGAGAGGAUGAUCAGCCACACUGGGACUGAGACACGGCCCAGACUCCUACGGGAGGCAGCAGUGGGGAAUUUUGGACAAUGGGCGAAAGCCUGAUCCAGCCAUGCCGCGUGAGUGAAGAAGGGCCC